RNAcentral lists this ribosomal RNA (429 nucleotides) under Chloroflexota bacterium. RNAcentral describes it as "Chloroflexi bacterium partial 16S ribosomal RNA". It matches the Rfam family "Bacterial small subunit ribosomal RNA", at positions 355 to 776 of the family's 1533-position model. The record is from RNAcentral. Lineage: Bacteria; Bacillati; Chloroflexota.
UGGGGAAUAUUGCACAAUGGGCGCAAGCCUGAUGCAGCCAUGCCGCGUGUGUGAAGAAGGCCUUCGGGUUGUAAAGCACUUUCAGCGGGGAGGAAGGCGGUGAGGUUAAUAACCUCACCGAUUGACGUUACCCGCAGAAGAAGCACCGGCUAACUCCGUGCCAGCAGCCGCGGUAAUACGGAGGGUGCAAGCGUUAAUCGGAAUUACUGGGCGUAAAGCGCACGCAGGCGGUCUGUCAAGUCGGAUGUGAAAUCCCCGGGCUCAACCUGGGAACUGCAUUCGAAACUGGCAGGCUAGAGUCGUGUAGAGGGGGGUAGAAUUCCAGGUGUAGCGGUGAAAUGCGUAGAGAUCUGGAGGAAUACCGGUGGCGAAGGCGGCCCCCUGGACGAAGACUGACGCUCAGGUGCGAAAGCGUGGGGAGCAAACAGG